This 505-nucleotide ribosomal RNA is filed under the name uncultured bacterium. Its description in RNAcentral is "partial 16S ribosomal RNA". It matches the Rfam family "Bacterial small subunit ribosomal RNA", at positions 28 to 507 of the family's 1533-position model. The record is from RNAcentral.
GACGAACGCUGGCGGCGUGCCUAAUACAUGCAAGUAGAACGCACAGUUUAUACCGUAGCUUGCUACACCAUAGACUGUGAGUUGCGAACGGGUGAGUAACGCGUAGGUAACCUGCCUGGUAGCGGGGGAUAACUAUUGGAAACGAUAGCUAAUACCGCAUAAUAUUAAUUAUUGCAUGAUAAUUAAUUGAAAGGUGCAAUUGCACCACUACCAGAUGGACCUGCGUUGUAUUAGCUAGUAGGUGAGGUAACGGCUCACCUAGGCGACGAUACAUAGCCGACCUGAGAGGGUGAUCGGCCACACUGGGACUGAGACACGGCCCAGACUCCUACGGGAGGCAGCAGUAGGGAAUCUUCGGCAAUGGACGAAAGUCUGACUGAGCAACGCCGCGUGAGUGAAGAAGGUUUUCGGAUCGUAAAGCUCUGUUGUAAGAGAAGAACGGGUGUGAGAGUGGAAAGUUCACACUGUGACGGUAUCUUACCAGAAAGGGACGGCUAACUACGUG